RNAcentral lists this transfer RNA (69 nucleotides) under Prionoglaris stygia. RNAcentral's name for it is "tRNA-Gln". Lineage: Eukaryota; Metazoa; Arthropoda; Insecta; Psocodea; Prionoglarididae. The record is from RNAcentral.
UAUAUUAUGGUGAUUUUGCACAAUGAAUUUUGAUUUCAUAGGAAAUAUUAUAAUAAAUAUUUAAUAUAA